UUGUUUUAGGGAUUAACAAGUCCCUGCUAAUUGAAUCCAUUCAUCACAUUGUCAGCAUCACAAGUUUUAUUUUUUGUUGAUCAUUAUCGGAUGGUACAAUU
Molecule: small nucleolar RNA, 101 nt
Filed under: Solanum lycopersicum (tomato)
Lineage: Eukaryota; Viridiplantae; Streptophyta; Magnoliopsida; Solanales; Solanaceae
Description: Small nucleolar RNA snoR99
Rfam family: Small nucleolar RNA snoR99
Source: Rfam by way of RNAcentral